Molecule: ribosomal RNA, 1434 nt
Filed under: uncultured prokaryote
Description: partial 16S ribosomal RNA
Rfam family: Bacterial small subunit ribosomal RNA
Source: RNAcentral
CAUGCAAGUUGAGCGGUAAGGCCCCUUGUUUUGUCAGGAAGUGGCAGACGGGUGAGUAACGCGUGGGUAACCUACCUUGAAGUGGGGGAUACCAUUCCGAAAGGGGUGUUAAUACCGCAUAAUACUGCGAAGUCUUCGGGCUUUGUUGUCAAAGCUGGGGCUCUUGGAGGGCCUGGCGCUAUGAGAGGGACUCGCGUCGGAUUAGCUAGUUGGUGAGGUAACGGCCCACCAAGGCAUCGAUCCGUAGCCGGCCUGAGAGGGUGAUCGGCCACACUGGAACUGAGACACGGUCCAGACUCCUACGGGAGGCAGCAGUGGGGAAUUUUGCGCAACGGGGGAAACCCUGACGCAGCAACGCCGCGUGGGUGAAGACGCAUCUCGGAUUGUAAACCCCUGUCAGGUGGGAAGAAGGACUUGUCGGUUAAUACCCGACGGGUUUUGACGGUACCACCAAAGGAAGCCCCGGCUAACUCCGUGCCAGCAGCCGCGGUAAUACGGAGGGGGCAAGCGUUAUUCGGAUUUACUGGGCGUAAAGAGCACGUAGGCGGCAAAUUAAGUCAAAGGUGAAAGCCCUCGGCUCAACCGAGGAACUGCCUUUGAAACUGGCUUGCUUGAGUCCGGGAGGGGGGAGCGGAAUUCCAAGUGUAGCGGUGAAAUGCGUAGAUAUCGGAAGGAACACCAGUGGCGAAGGCGGCCACCUGGACCGGUACUGACGCUGAGGCGCGAAAGCGUGGGUAGCAAACAGGAUUAGAUACCCGGGUAGUCCACGCCGUAAACGAUGGGCACUAGUUGCAGCGGGUGUCGACCCCUGCUGUGACGAAGUUAACGCAGUAAGUGCCCCGCCUGGGGAGUACGGUCGGAAGGCUGAAACUCAAAGGAAUUGACGGGGGCCCGCACAAGCGGUGGAGCAUGUGGUUUAAUUCGAUGCAACGCGAGGAACCUUACCUGGGUUUGAACUACUGAGGGCCGGUGCAGAGAUGCACCCUUCCCUUCGGGGACUUCAGGAGAGGUGCUGCAUGGCUGUCGUCAGCUCGUGCCGUGAGGUGUUGGGUUAAGUCCCGCAACGAGCGCAACCCCUGCCCCUAGUUACCAGCGGAUUAUGCCGGGGACUUUGGGGGGACUGCCGGCGCUAAGCCGGAGGAAGGUGGGGACGACGUCAAGUCAUCAUGGCCUUUAUGUCCAGGGCUACACACGUGCUACAAUGGGCGGUACAAAGGGUCGCAAACCUGCGAAGGUGAGCCAAUCUCAUAAAACCGUCCUCAGUUCGGAUUGCAGUCUGCAACUCGACUGCAUGAAGGUGGAAUCGCUAGUAAUGGCGCAUCAGAACGGCGCGGUGAAUACGUUCCCGGGCCUUGUACACACCGCCCGUCACAUCACGAAAGUCGGUUGCACCAGAAGCCGGCAGGCCAACCUUCGGGAGGCAGCUGUCGAAGG